This 397-nucleotide ribosomal RNA is filed under the name uncultured bacterium. RNAcentral describes it as "partial 16S ribosomal RNA". It matches the Rfam family "Bacterial small subunit ribosomal RNA", at positions 523 to 918 of the family's 1533-position model. The record is from RNAcentral.
AAACGUAGGUGGCGAGCGUUGUCCGGAAUUACUGGGUGUAAAGGGAGCGCAGGUGGGCGCGCAAGUUGGACGUGAAAUCUAUGGGCUCAACCCAUAACGUGCGUUCAAAACUGCGUGUCUUGAGUGGAGUAGAGGCAAGUGGGAUUCCCGGUGUAGCGGUGGAAUGCGUAGAUAUCGGGAGGAACAUCAGUGGCGAAGGCAGCUUCCUGGCCCAAUACUGACGCUCAGGUGCGAAAGCGUGGGGAUCAAACAGGAUUAGAUACCCUGGUAGUCCACGCUGUAAACGAUGAGAACUAGAUGUUGGGAGGGUUUUGCCUCUCAGUGUCGUAGCUAACGCGCUAAGUUCUCCGCCUGGGGAGUACGGCCGCAAGGUUGAAACUCAAAUGAAUUGACGGGG